RNAcentral lists this ribosomal RNA (458 nucleotides) under uncultured bacterium. RNAcentral's name for it is "bacterial SSU rRNA". It matches the Rfam family "Bacterial small subunit ribosomal RNA", at positions 29 to 529 of the family's 1533-position model. The record is from RNAcentral.
AGCGAACGCUGGCGGCAGGCCUAACACAUGCAAGUCGAACGGAUCCUUCGGGAUUAGUGGCGGACGGGUGAGUAACACGUGGGAACGUGCCUUUUGGUUCGGAACAACUCAGGGAAACUUGAGCUAAUACCGAAUGUGCCCUUCGGGGGAAAGAUUUAUCGCCAUUAGAGCGGCCCGCGUCUGAUUAGCUAGUUGGUGGGGUAAAGGCUCACCAAGGCUACGAUCAGUAGCUGGUCUGAGAGGAUGAUCAGCCACAUUGGGACUGAGACACGGCCCAAACUCCUACGGGAGGCAGCAGUGGGGAAUCUUGCGCAAUGGGCGAAAGCCUGACGCAGCCAUGCCGCGUGAAUGAUGAAGGUCUUAGGGAUUGUAAAAUUCUUUCACCGGGGACGAUAAUGACGGUACCCGGAGAAGAAGCCCGGCUAACUCGUGCCAGCAGCCGCGGUAAACUACUCGUA